Molecule: transfer RNA, 94 nt
Filed under: Spinacia oleracea (spinach)
Lineage: Eukaryota; Viridiplantae; Streptophyta; Magnoliopsida; Caryophyllales; Amaranthaceae
Rfam family: tRNA
About the family: Transfer RNA (tRNA) molecules are approximately 80 nucleotides in length. Their secondary structure includes four short double-helical elements and three loops (D, anti-codon, and T loops). Further hydrogen bonds mediate the characteristic L-shaped molecular structure. tRNAs have two regions of fundamental functional importance: the anti-codon, which is responsible for specific mRNA codon recognition, and the 3' end, to which the tRNAs corresponding amino acid is attached (by aminoacyl-tRNA synthetases). tRNAs cope with the degeneracy of the genetic code in two manners: having more than one tRNA (with a specific anti-codon) for a particular amino acid; and 'wobble' base-pairing, i.e. permitting non-standard base-pairing at the 3rd anti-codon position.
Source: Rfam by way of RNAcentral
CCGACCUUAGCUCAGUUAGUAGAGCAGAGGACUGUAGUUUGUAAAUGAUGCACAGGUUAUCCUGAGGUCGUUGGUUCAAAUGCGGCAGGUUGAA